UCAAGCUGGAAAGAGCGCAAGGGGAAUGCCUUGGCAUCAGGAGCCGAAGAAGGACGUGACAAGCUGCGAAAAGCCUCGGGGAGGAGCAAAUAUCCAUUGAUCCGGGGAUAUCCGAAUGGGGCAACCCGGCUGGACAAUAUCCAGUCAUCCUGCGUUGAACAAAAUAGGCGUAGGAAGGGAACCGCCUGAACUGAAACAUCUAAGUAGGGCGAGGAAGAGACAUCAACCGAGAUUCCGCAAGUAGUGGCGAGCGAACGCGGAAGAGGCCAAACCGAGAGUAGUAAUACUUUCGGGGUUCGGACAGAAAACGGUAUUGUAAAGGUUUAGUGGAAUGGAAUGGGAAGUCCAACCGAAGAAGGUGAGAGUCCUGUACACGAAAAGCCUGAACAGCCAUCUGUAUCCAGAGUACCGCCGGACACGUGAAACCCGGUGGGAAUACGGGGGGACCAUCCUCCAAGCCUAAAUACUACUCGGUGACCGAUAGUGAAGAAGUACUGUGAAGGAAAGGUGAAAAGUACCCCUGACGGGGAGUGAAAAAGAACCUGAAACCUUGUGUUUACAAGCACCGAAAGCUCAUCAAAGAGCGAUCGGGUACCUUUUGUAGAAUGGUCCGGCGAGUGAAUGUAACCGGCGAGGUUAAGCACCUAAGGUGUGAAGCCGCAGCGAGAGCAAGUCUGAAUAGGGCGUAUGAAGUCGGUUGUAUUCGACCCGAAACCGGGUGACCUACCCAUGGUCAGGUUGAAGUAAAGGUAAAACUUUAUGGAGGACCGAACCGACUCCCGUUGAAAUGGUAGCGGAUGAACUGUGGGUAGCGGAGAAAUUCCAAUCGAACCCGGAGAUAGCUGGUUCUCUCCGAAAUAGCUUUAGGGCUAGCCUUGAAAUAGAUUACCGGAGGUAAAGCACUGAAUUGGCUAGGGGCCGAGAGGUUACUGAACCUUAUCAAACUAAGAAUGCCGGAUAAUCGUUUUUCAGGAGUCAGACAGUGGGAGAUAAGUUUCAUUGUCAAAAGGGAAACAGCCCAGACCCACAGCUAAGGUCCCCAAGUAUAGUUAAGUGGAAAAGGAUGUGGAAUUGCACAGACAACCAGGAUGUUGGCUUAGAAGCAGCCACUCAUUAAAAGAGUGCGUAAUAGCUCACUGGUCGAGUGACUCUGCGCCGAAAAUUUAACGGGGCUAAACUAUACACCGAAGCUUGGGAUACAUCUAAUGUAUGGUAGGAGAGCGUUCUGUAUGGGGAGAAGUCGUAGCGAAAGCGGCGGUGGACUAUACAGAAGUGAGAAUGCCGGAAUAAGUAGCGAGAAUUAAGUGAGAAUCUUAAUGGCCGAAAGUCUAAGGUUUUUGGAGGAAGGUUCGUCCGCUCCAAGUAAGUCGGGAGCUAAGGUCAGGCCGAAAGGCGUAGCCGAUGCACAUACGGUUGAUAUUCCGUAACCAUCUGUAAUUUAAGCAAAGGGACACUUUAAAAGGGUGUGACCCGGGCGUUGGUUGACCCGGGCGUAAGGGACCGAAAUUAGAGUAGGGAAGCACACUUGGCUGAAGGCGAGAAAAGCUUUGCGUAUAGAAACAGAUGCCCGUACCGCAAACCGACACAGGUGGACAGGAAGAGAAUUCUAAGGCCAGCGGGAGAAGGGUAGUUAAGGAACUCGGCAAAUUGACUCCGUAACUUCGGAAUAAGGAGUGCUCGAAAGAGCCGCAGAGAAUAGGCCCAGGCGACUGUUUAGCAAAAACACAGGUCUCUGCCAAAUCGAAAGAUGAAGUAUAGGGGCUGACACCUGCCCGGUGCCGGAAGGUUAAGAGGAGGAGUGAGAGCUCCGAAUUGAAGCCCCGGUAAACGGCGGCCGUAACUAUAACGGUCCUAAGGUAGCGAAAUUCCUUGUCGGGUAAGUUCCGACCCGCACGAAUGGCGUAACGACUUGUGAGCUGUCUCAACAGGAGGCCCGGUGAAAUUGAAGUAUGUGUGAAGAUGCACAUUACCCGCGACUGGACGGAAAGACCCCGUAGAGCUUUACUGUAACCUGACAUUGGAUCUUGAUAACGGAUGCACAGGAUAGGUGGGACGCUGGGAGACGAGGACUUUGGUUUUCGUGGAGCGGCCGUUGGGAUACCACUCUUCUGUUAUUGAGAUUCUAACCUCAAGCCGUGAGCCGGAUGAGAGACAGUGUCAGGCGGACAGUUUGACUGGGGCGGUCGCCUCCGAAAGAGUAACGGAGGCGCCCAAAGGUACCCUCAGAAUGGAUGGAAACCAUUCGAAGAGAGCAAAGUCAGAAGGGUGCUUGACUGCGAGACCAACAAGUCGAGCAGGUACGAAAGUAGGGCUUAGUGAUCCGGCGGUAAGAGAGUGGAAUUGCCGUCGCUCAACGGAUAAAAGCUACCUCGGGGAUAACAGGCUGAUCUCCCCCAAGAGUUCACAUCGACGGGGAGGUUUGGCACCUCGAUGUCGGCUCGUCGCAUCCUGGGGC
This 2455-nucleotide ribosomal RNA is filed under the name human gut metagenome. RNAcentral describes it as "bacterial LSU rRNA". It matches the Rfam family "Bacterial large subunit ribosomal RNA", at positions 3 to 2553 of the family's 2925-position model. The record is from RNAcentral.